This 253-nucleotide unclassified non-coding RNA is filed under the name uncultured Halomonadaceae bacterium. RNAcentral describes it as "contains 16S-23S intergenic spacer region". It matches the Rfam family "Bacterial small subunit ribosomal RNA", at positions 524 to 776 of the family's 1533-position model. Lineage: Bacteria; Pseudomonadati; Pseudomonadota; Gammaproteobacteria; Oceanospirillales; Halomonadaceae. The record is from RNAcentral.
UACGGAGGGUGCGAGCGUUAAUCGGAAUUACUGGGAGUAAAGCGCGCGUAGGUGGCUUGAUCAGCCGGUUGUGAAAGCACCGGGAUCAACCUGGGAACGGCAUCCGGAACUGUCAGGCUAGAAUGCAGGAGAGGAAGGUAGAAUUCCCGGUGUAGCGGUGAAAUGCGUAGAGAUCGGGAGGAAUACCAGUGGCGAAGGCGGCCUUCUGGACUGACACUGACGCUGAGGUGCGAAAGCGUGGGUAGCAAACAGG